AUUUAUAGCACUAAAUCCCACAUCAAAAAGUUAGGAAGAACUCAAAUUAAUAACCUAACAUCACAACUGAAAGAACUAGAGAAGCAAGACAAAACCCCAAAGCUAGAGGAAGACAAGAAAUAACUGAAAAUCUGAGCUGAACUGAAAGAAACCGAGACAUGAAAAAAAGAAAUUCAAAAGAUCUAUGAAUUCCGGGUGAUGGCAUCAGCUGAGAAGGGAAGGAAGCCCAUGAGAGGACACUGAAGAAGGAGUGAGCAGACAAUAAGAAGCCCACAGAAGACAGAGAAGGAACAACUAGAGGGAGAAGCCAAGGCAGGCGUGUGUGUUUCUCCACAGACACUACCCAAAGCAGUGCUUCACUACAGUGGCAGACAGACCUGAAAAUUUUCAUCUGAAGCAGCAGAGUGAACUGCAGAGGCAGGUCACCAACCAGUGUGGAGGCUAAAAGCGGGCCUCUUUGGGGAUUCCAGGUGGAAGUGUUGGACAUCUGUAGUAUUCCUGGUCUCGAAUCAUCCUGAUAUUCUUCAUUUUGUUAUUCACAUUGGACUAGG
This 551-nucleotide long non-coding RNA is filed under the name Homo sapiens (human). Its description in RNAcentral is "atherosclerotic plaque pathogenesis associated transcript". The record is from RNAcentral. Lineage: Eukaryota; Metazoa; Chordata; Mammalia; Primates; Hominidae.